GAGUGUCCACUCUGAGGACUUAGGCUGGAUUUUAACCCAUUUUCCCGAAGGGAAGUGCUUGGAGCCAUCUUAUAUGAUUCAAGGUGCAUAUUGAAUCUGAGAGGGACAAAACCAGCAGUAACAGAAGAACUUUCUGAGUUGUGAAGGCCAAAAGGAAUUAAUCACUGAAGGGAAAUGGGCUCUCUCAUUUACACAGAGGGUGAGAGAGAGAGAAAAUAAAGUGCUUUAGAAUGGAGAAGGGAAAGAAAGGCCCUUGCAGUGUCCCUGUCAGUACCAAAAUAAAUCUUUGAAGAGAGAGGGGAAACAAUAGCAGCAGAAAGCUGCCCGAGCAAUGGCAGAGCAGAGCCUUAGGAGCAGAUCUCUUCCUGGCUAAUGGCUGCCAGCUCUGGACCUUUGUGGUUAGUUUGCUUCGGUGAACCCAGUAACCGCUGGCAUGGUCUUGUCUUUCUCAUCCGUGGAUUGCUUGCUAAACAGGCGGAGUGGUGAUACUGAAGGCAGUAUCCUAGCAGGAAUGUAGCUAAGCCAUUGGAUCAAAUACUGGAUUUGAAUCAAACCAGUCCUGUUUUGGAGAAACUUAACUGUCCGGUGGGCUGGAAAAAGCUCUGGGGAACCUUGACCAAGGUUGCUAGAGAGCAAAGAAGUAGAGAGUUUCCAUCCAAAAAGGAUCCAGGCAACAUCUCCUCACAGUAAACAGAAUAAAGCCUUGCAGUUUUGUGAUCCUUAAGCAUAAGGGGAGUGGAUGAGACUGCUGGGAGCAGGCCGACAGCCCUGGGAGGUUUUACACUGACAGAGCACAUCUGUAGAGGAGAGCUGCCAGGCUGUCAUGUAAACCCAUUGGGGGACCAUCUCACACGUCAAGCACAUGCUGUCUGCACCUCCGGGGCUCCUCACACCUUCCUGGAUAUGACUGCAGGCACGGAAGCAGUGCUCAGGAGCUUGGGCUGGUCUUCCUCCCACCAUCUGUGAUGGAUGAGAUCAAUGUGGAGCUCCCACCCUCCUGCUCUCCAAAGAGCCAAUGUCAUGGGCAAUUUGAGGAAGGGACAAAGCAGAUAACAACCCUCCCCUACAGUUUUCACAAAACCUCAUGCCCUGGAUUCACCAAUUCCAGUAUGGACACUUGUCUGCAGACUGGCUGAAAAAGGACUGUGAUAAUUUGUUUAUGCUUUUGAGCAUCAGGUUUGUAGCAAGGAUGGUCCUAUUCUUAUGGAAACGGAAAGGCAGGUGCUUGUACCCGGGGGACCACCAUGCUGACUGCCAGAGAUUCCUGGCACUGGCUACUACGGAGUUAAGCAGCCAGGCUGGAGUGUGCAAACAAACAUCGAGACCUGUGCUAACAGCCCUGCUUUGUGCUAGUGGGAAGCACAGGCUCCAACUUCUUCCGAUUUCUCACCUGUCCAGACUGGUACAGAGGGAAAAUGCCUCUUGGAGUUGCAGAGAAAACCACACCUAUUUACUGUGGAUUCCCCAGGGCCCUCCUGUGGGGUAUUAACCCUUCAGCCCCAGGGCCCACAGUCUGCCUUUGGCAUGGAGAAUUCCCCACCAUCCCUGGGGAAAUCAGCCCUUCUCCCUCUGGUGUAGGGGUUUCGCCUGUUUGUGGCCCAGGGCAUUGGCCCAUCCACUCUCUAGAGCAAGUCACAGCUUUCUCUUUCCUCCCCAUCUGUACAGUUAUCUCUGCCCUUUCCAUAACUGUGCAAUGUGGCUCUUUCUGCAGGAGCUGGGCUUCCUGACCCAGCUCCUUCCCCCAGAAAGCAGAACUUGCACUGCUGUUUCUGGGUUGGAUCUGUGAUCAUGUCUCUGUGUUUGUCUCAGACCCCACCAAGUUUCCCUGAGAUACCAGCUCAUCCCUCCCCCUUGAAAUGUCCUUGCUCUCUUCAGGCUUCUUCCUGGUCUCACUGUUUGCUUUCCCUCUUUUCCCUGGUUUCUGAGGUUUCUCGGAAGGAAUCCCGUGCUCUGGCCUCCUCAGGCUGGAGUGUUGUGUUGUUGUUUUUCCUUUCGUCGCUAUGGGCAGGGAUUUUGAAUACUGAGCCAAGGAGAGGGAGGGAAGGAUGGAGGCAGUGAAAGAAGGAGGGAGUACAAGGGGAGGGAUGAAGAAAGCCAGGGAAGUGAGAAAGCAAAGUGUGCAGGGGAGCGGGGUAAGGAAGAGGUGGUGGAGGAAUGAAAUGGGGAAGGAAGAGAGAGGGCAUUAUGAAGAGGAAGAGUUUUGGAUAAAUAUCCAGGAGAGCUUUUUCAUUGUUUCUUUUAUUGAUAACACUAUUGCAGCAGACAGCAAUAUCCAGAGCAAGGCAGGGAACAUCCCCCCCCCAUCUGUCUAGGACACAAGGCAUGAGAGGUUAUUCAAGGCAAAGAGAUCCUUCAGAAAAUGAACAUCCAAGCCUAGAGCAGCCAGUAGGAGCACAGACUACAGCAGGAAAAAUGCUAGAUGGCAGUUUGGUGGGUAAGGAGAGAAUGUGAAGCACAAAGGUGCAGAAAAUAU
Long non-coding RNA from Pezoporus flaviventris, 2473 nucleotides. RefSeq lists it as uncharacterized. The transcript has 3 exons. The record is from RefSeq and is a predicted model, not a curated record. NCBI's taxonomy places the organism in Eukaryota, Metazoa, Chordata, Aves, Psittaciformes, Psittacidae.